GAUGAACGCUGGCGGCGUGCCUAAUACAUGCAAGUCGAGCGAACAGACGAGGAGCUUGCUCCUUUGACGUUAGCGGCGGACGGGUGAGUAACACGUAGGUAACCUACCUAUAAGACUGGGAUAACUUCGGGAAACCGGAGCUAAUACCGGAUAAUAUUUCGAACCGCAUGGUUCGAUAGUGAAAGAUGGCUUUGCUAUCACUUAUAGAUGUACCUGCGCCGUAUUAGCUAGUUGGUAAGGUAACGGCUUACCAAGGCAACGAUACGUAGCCGACCUGAGAGGGUGAUCGGCCACACUGGAACUGAGACACGGUCCAGACUCCUACGGGAGGCAGCAGUAGGGAAUCUUCGGCAAUGGGCGAAAGCCUGACGGAGCAACGCCGCGUGAGUGAUGAAGGUCUUCGGAUCGUAAAACUCUGUUAUUAGGGAAGAACAAACGUGUAAGUAACUGUGCACGUCUUGACGGUACCUAAUCAGAAAGCCACGGCUAACUACGUG
Molecule: ribosomal RNA, 497 nt
Filed under: uncultured bacterium
Lineage: Bacteria
Description: partial 16S ribosomal RNA
Rfam family: Bacterial small subunit ribosomal RNA
Source: RNAcentral